This is a long non-coding RNA of Populus euphratica (Euphrates poplar), 356 nucleotides long. RefSeq lists it as uncharacterized. The transcript is spliced from 3 exons. The record is from RefSeq and is a predicted model, not a curated record. NCBI's taxonomy places the organism in Eukaryota, Viridiplantae, Streptophyta, Magnoliopsida, Malpighiales, Salicaceae.
AAAUCCAAUCAAUCCCAAACCAGCAAGAACAAAAAUCCAAACCCUUGUCUCAAAAUCAAAACUUUUCAAUCAAACAGUACAGGAUUCUCAUAACCCUUUUAUAAUGCUAACCCAAAUGACCAAAUAAACAAACCCCGAUUGAGAUCAAUCAAGAUAAACACGGUUUUUACACUUCUUUUUAUUAAUUGUUGGAGAAAACCUACCAGUAAAUGAUUCUUUCUCGGGUCACAGGAGAACAGACUAGUGAAUUUAGAAAAAACGCAUAAAAGUGUCGAUAACCCUGUUCUGUUCUGUUCACCUAUGAAGGAAAGAUUAAGGAGGCAGGGAGGUUUCUCCAACGUUUUACUGUCCUAUAU